GUGCUUGAUUUGGCAGCACAUGUAAUAAAAUUGAAAUGAUACAGAGAAUGUUAACAUAGUCCCUGUGCAAGGAUGACACUCAAAUUUGUGAAGUGUUCCAUAUUUUA
Small nuclear RNA from Cavia aperea (Brazilian guinea pig), 107 nucleotides. NCBI's taxonomy places the organism in Eukaryota, Metazoa, Chordata, Mammalia, Rodentia, Caviidae. The record is from Ensembl.